GCUACGGCCAUACCAACCCCUGGCUAUGCCCGAUCUCGUCUGAUCUCGGAAGCUAAGCAGGUUUGGGCCUGGUUAGUACUUGGAUGGGAGACCGCCUGGAAUACCGGGUGCUUGUAAGCU
Molecule: ribosomal RNA, 120 nt
Filed under: Carassius auratus (goldfish)
Lineage: Eukaryota; Metazoa; Chordata; Actinopteri; Cypriniformes; Cyprinidae
Source: RNAcentral